This 460-nucleotide ribosomal RNA is filed under the name uncultured bacterium. RNAcentral describes it as "partial 16S ribosomal RNA". It matches the Rfam family "Bacterial small subunit ribosomal RNA", at positions 338 to 795 of the family's 1533-position model. The record is from RNAcentral.
CCUACGGGAGGCUGCAGUGAGGAAUAUUGGUCAAUGGGCGCUAGCCUGAACCAGCCAAGUAGCGUGAAGGAUGACUGCCCUAUGGGUUGUAAACUUCUUUUAUAUGGGAAUAAAGUGCAGUAUGUAUACUGCUUUGCAUGUACCUUAUGAAUAAGAAUCGGCUAACUCCGUGCCAGCAGCCGCGGUAAUACGGAGGAUCCGAGCGUUAUCCGGAUUUAUUGGGUUUAAAGGGAGCGUAGGCGGGUUGUUAAGUCAGUUGUGAAAGUUUGCGGCUCAACCGUAAAAUUGCAGUUGAUACUGGCAGCCUUGAGUACAGUAGAGGUAGGCGGAAGUCGUGGUGUAGCGGUGAAAUGCUUAGAUAUCACGAAGAACUCCGAUUGCGAAGGCAGCCUGCUGGACUGUAACUGACGCUGAGGCUCGAAAGUGUGGGUAUCAAACAGGAUUAGAUACCCCAGUAGUU